UCUAAUUUGACAAUCGUCGUAUCUUCUAUAGUUUUGGAGAUUCCCAUGACAUCCUCACCUUGGACACAGCGUUUAUUGUUAUUUUUGAUUUAUGAGUAUAAGCUACUUAUCAUCGGGAAAAUGAAUCCUGUUCAUCCGCCCAUAAAAAAAAAACUUAAGUGGCACCUCUUGAAUCAAAAUCAAAAGCCUAUAAAUCGUAAAUAAAUAAACAAUCUAGUUUUGCAAUAUAUAGGAAACGUUUAGAAGAAAGGUUAAGUAGCUUGAAGAGUUGAUAAAUGUGUUUUGUAUAACAACCUGUCAAGUUACUGUGGAGCACCAAGUUGUAUAUGUGUAAGAAUUUUGUGUAAGCAACUUGAUAUAAAAGCAGAAGCGAACACAACCAAUUGACUCGUCCAAUGAUGAAGCGGUUGUAAUAACAAUUUCAAUGAGGGGGUAGUGUACCGCCCAUUAAACGUUUCCUUGUUUUAUUUCAAGUCUUGCUGAAGUGGCAAGAAACAUAAUUUAUAUACAUAGGCGGUUGAAAAUAAUAUAGUAUAAAUCGCUACAAUGUACUGAGUAUAUAAUAGUUGCUUUACAGAGGCCCGCGUAGAUAAAUCAAAUGCAAUUUACGGUUUGAAACAGUAAUCCAUUGACAUAAAAAUUGGCAAUUUAAGGUCUGAUACAUCCCAAUCGCAGUAUAUUUUAAAUUAUCGAUUUUGCGUUAUAUAUUUACGCUUCUGAUCCCAUUGUCACGUAGUAUUUGCAUGUAAUUUUGUUUGUCAACCGAAUACAAAGCAAGUUGAUGAUUUAAUCCCAUAUUAAAGUAUUUUAUAAAAUUUCGCGAUAAACCCGUAACAAAAUGAAACCGAGUCUUAUCUCGAAUAUAAUACGUGUAUAAAGAAAUAAUAAAAUGACGCAUGAACUUCAAUUUUGAUACAAAGGAAAGGAAAAACAAGCAAUGAAGUUGCACAUUUACGUGCCUUUUAAAUUUGAGAAUGGAGAAAGGAAUGGCGAGUGACAAACAGUUACAAAAGAACAACGUGUUAGUUGGUGCAAAACAACUUUACUAAGCACUCACCCCACUAUAAAAUAAAAGCAAUAAAAAUAUAUAAAAAAGUACAUCACUAAUCCAGCUACAAUUAAACAGUCUCGCAGUGUAGGAAUAGUUAUUUACAUAAAACUCAGGAAAACGAUACAUUACAUUUUACGGACGAGUUUUAUAUUAUAUCUAUAAAAUUUUAAUUUUCAUAUAGAACUUUUUGUGUCAGUGAUUAAAGUAUCCAUUAGAGAUUACCAAUGUGACAGGUGGCGAGAAAAGUAGUCAGAGUGUUACUGCCACUGUCAUUGAAACUAGAGUUUCCCGACUGAAGGCUUCAUGACGAUUGAUGCAUGUUUUUUCGCGAAAACAGUUCUAGAAGAUCAAACAAUAGGUAAUGCGAGGUUUAUUGAAACUCUAGCUCCAUUUUUUUAUACCCAUAACCUUAAAAACUAGCACCGCUAACUUAAAAAAUAAAGAUCAUUGGAGAUACAGCUUCUAAUCUAUAACUUAGGGCAGUUUGGAGUUAGUCCUACACAGUAAACUAAAUGGGUGUAGCUCUAGGGACCAUUUUUUUCUUGCUUUAAGGUUAUCUGAUAAAAAACCUUUUACGUGAACGCAUUUGUUGAAUAGAAAUUAACCGUUAGAUGAGCUUGAUUCGGGCAAAACUAUUUGUAGGUUAUAGUGGUGAAUCGCCAACAAAAUUCACUUUCGAUUUUAAAAUGUGGUCAUAAAUUUAUUUCACAUUUCUCGAUUACACGGCGGCGCUUCAAGACCUAUUUUUCAAACACUUUUCUAUGAUUAUGAUUACUUUCUUGUUUGCUUGUGUGUCAGUCGCGAAAUUGUCACUCGGUGUGCGCACGUAAACCAAUGCCGAGCGAACUGAAGGGCCGUAGAUUCACGCCUCUACAUCUACGGCCACGAACAAUAAAUUCUUUUUGACUUUUCAGUAACGGAAUAAAAAACACUAGUCAAAAGUAAAAAAAAAUUAAAAAACCACUUUUCAACAGAACACAGAAUCGGAACUAAAAUUAAAUUUUCAUUGAAAAAGUUAUUUUCAAUAUCGAUAAUUCUCAAUCUAUUCUUUAAACCCCAACACUUUUUCAACGAAAAUUUUAUUUUUCCUGUGUUCUGUUGACGAAACGCGUUUUCUUAAGUGUAUAAAUUUUUUUAGAUGGUGCUUCAAAAUGUAUUUCUUUCAAAAGCGUGGGGGUCAUUUUUCCCUCAAGGCAAUACCCCCCUUCCCCUUACUAAAGUGUGUAACAGAAUCGCUUAGCAGUUUUUUUUUGAAUUUGUAUUUUGUUCAACAUAGUAAAACUUCCAGAGGUCUAUGGAAGGCGAGAGAGGUGUCCCUACCCCUUUCGAGUGUAUUAGGCGGUCGUUGCUAGUCACCGCUAUAUUUGAAAAGAGUGCUCGAAGUUAAUAGGCGGUCGAUAUCAAAGAAGAGGUCUAUGGAAGAGGCGAGAGGUGCCAAUCGGUGCAUUCCUUUUUGCAACAAAACCUAGUGGCAACUUUAAUAUCGACAUCGAGGGACGUUGGCAUUUUAUUCCUAUGCAUAAUCACGAUCUCGAGUAUUGUUUUCACGAAGUUAAAGUCUGUUUGCUUGGAUUCGCUAUACGAAGGGACAUUUUUGUUUUGCAUUCAUCACGGAGUCAACUAUACCAUUGAAGGGGUCUCUUUCUAAAGGGAGCGGCAUUUUCCAAGGAGAGAUAAGAUCAAUUUUUUUACCAGCAGAGAACCACGCCAGUAACUGAAUUUGCAUAAGAAAUUUUGUUCAAUGUAAUUUUAAUAUUCCUAAAGGAAUCAACCCGGGAACUUUUUUCACAGGCAAUGAAGAAGGUUGAAGAAAUAAUUGAAUUUUAAUUUAUUUGAAGUAGAAUAAGCGUACAUAGAGGAAUGUUAAUGUUUCACCGGAGAUCAAAAACGGCGGGAAUAACCGAUCAAGUACGUCGGGGAGGUGACUGAAUUGCCGGCGAGUGACAUUCCUUGGGUGAUAGUGGUAGGUGUAAGGCGUGAAAAAUUUCUUGGCGUUCUUCCAUUAAUAAAUAAGUUAAUUAUCGGCGUAAUUCAUAUUCAGUUGCAAGAAAUGCAAUUUGGCGUGUACAAAAUUAAAGCGAAUUAUGAAAAUUAAAAUGCAACGGUGCGAUAAUACCUACCGGUGUUCCAAGGUUUUAACACGUUCGCGAGUUCAAUAGUAUGCUGUGCAUGCAGGUGGUUGCGGCGCAAUAUUGGUGUAUAUGUAUUGAACAGAGGCGUACGUAGGUACAAUUUAUUAGGUGAAUUGUAGGUAUUAUUUACGAAUUUGGUUGGCGAUUAAUAAUUGGUGGUUUGCGUACAGUAGAGGGAAAAUUAAAAGGCGGGUUAUGGGUGGUGAAUUUGAAUAGUUUUCAAUUAUUGAAAUAUCACACUGUACCGAUCCCAUCACUCCAUAGGCGUGCGUAUCGGCGUACGAGUUAUCAUGUCGGAUUGUGACGCCUUAUCCAUGGAAGCGGGCGAAAUGCUGCGAGAAUUUGCAAGGCAUCCUUAGUCUUAGGGGACUUAGCCCUAACUCUUCUUAUACCUCGAAAGCUGACGGCGGAAGGGGUUGUAAAUGGAUCGAGUUUGGCAACGCAUCCGGCGGACAGCAACAAGCUGUGUGCAUCCAAGGAGAUGUCCGGGCAGAUGUGGAUCGAGAUGGUGAGGAUGGGUCCAUUAACCGCUGUAUCUCCCAAGUGGAUAUGCUGGUGGAAAUGCAUGUAGAGUGUGACUCACUUAGGCGUUAUCCACGCCUGGAUGAAAAAUGAGUGCGAUGAUGGUGUGUGUGAUGGGCGCAAACAUCGAUAGGAUGGAACUAUUGGAUCUCCUAGAGAGUUAGUCUGUUGCUAAUGAGGGCAUUAGGAAUGCCGAAUGCUGCACGGGUAAUCAAAAACGGCGGGAAUAUCCGAUCAAGUGCGGAGUGGAGGCGACAGAAGAGCCAACGAGUGACAUUUCUUGAGUGAUAGUGGCGUAAGGCGUUUUGACAAUUCCCUUGCCGUUCUUCCAUGAAUAAAUAAGUUAAUUAUUGGUGUCAUUCAUAUUCAAUUGUAAAAUUAAUAUAUUUCUAACCAGAAAGUUAA
Molecule: long non-coding RNA, 4110 nt
Organism: Photinus pyralis (common eastern firefly)
Lineage: Eukaryota; Metazoa; Arthropoda; Insecta; Coleoptera; Lampyridae
Exons: 2
Source: RefSeq, a predicted model, not a curated record